RNAcentral lists this ribosomal RNA (425 nucleotides) under uncultured bacterium. Its description in RNAcentral is "bacterial SSU rRNA". It matches the Rfam family "Bacterial small subunit ribosomal RNA", at positions 30 to 457 of the family's 1533-position model. The record is from RNAcentral.
AUUGAACGCUGGCGGCAUGCCUUACACAUGCAAGUCGAACGGCAGCACGGGAGCAAUCCUGGUGGCGAGUGGCGAACGGGUGAGUAAUAUAUCGGAACGUGCCCGGUCGUGGGGAUAACGUAGCGAAAGCUACGCUAAUACCGCAUACGAUCUACGGAUGAAAGCGGGGGAUCGCAAGACCUCGCGCGAUUGGAGCGGCCGAUAUCAGAUUAGGUAGUUGGUGAGGUAAAGGCUCACCAAGCCGACGAUCUGUAGCUGGUCUGAGAGGACGAUCAGCCACACUGGGACUGAGACACGGCCCAGACUCCUACGGGAGGCAGCAGUGGGAAUUUUGGACAAUGGGCGCAAGCCUGAUCCAGCAAUGCCGCGUGCAGGAUGAAGGCCUUCGGUUGUAAACGUGCUUUGUUACGGAACGAACGGUAGAG